This 446-nucleotide ribosomal RNA is filed under the name uncultured bacterium. RNAcentral describes it as "partial 16S ribosomal RNA". It matches the Rfam family "Bacterial small subunit ribosomal RNA", at positions 338 to 795 of the family's 1533-position model. The record is from RNAcentral.
CCUACGGGUGGCAGCAGUCGAGAAUCAUUCACAAUGGGGGAAACCCUGAUGGUGCGACGCCGCGUGGGGGAAUGAAGUUCUUCGGAUUGUAAACCCCUGUCAUGUGGGAGCAAAUUAAAAAGAUAGUACCACAAGAGGAAGAGACGGCUAACUCUGUGCCAGCAGCCGCGGUAAUACAGAGGUCUCAAGCGUUGUUCGGAAUCACUGGGCGUAAAGCGUGCGUAGGCUGUUUCGUAAGUCGUGUGUGAAAGGCGCGGGCUCAACCCGCGGACGGCACAUGAUACUGCGAGACUAGAGUAAGGGAGGGGGAACCGGAAUGCUCGGUGUAGCAGUGAAAUGCGUAGAUAUCGAGAGGAACACUCGUGGCGAAGGCGGGUUCCUGGACAGUAACUGACGCUGAGGCACGAAGGCCAGGGGAGCGAAAGGGAUUAGAUACCCCUGUAGUC